UUGAAACUCAAAGGAAUUGACGGGGGCCCGCACAAGCGGCGGAGCAUGUGGUUUAAUUUGAAGCAACGUGAAGAACCUUAGCAGGUCUUGACAUCCAGUGCAAACGUAAGAGAUUAGGUGUUCCCUUCGGUGACGCUGAGACAGGUGGUGCAUGGCCGUCGUCAGCUCGCGUCGUGAGAUGUUGGGUUAAGUCCCGCAACGAGCGCAACCCUUGUCACUAGUUGCCAUCAUUAAGUUGGGCAUUCUAAGGAGACUGCCGGUGACAAACCGGAGGAAGGUGGGGAUGACGUCGAAUCAUCAUGCCCCUUAUGAUCAGGGCUACACACGUGCCACAAUGGUGUAAACAAAGGGAAGCGAGACGGGGACGUUAAGCAAAUCCCAAAAAUAACGUAACAGUUCGGCUGGUAGUGUGCAAGUCGACUACAUGAAGCUGGAAUCGCUGGUAAUCGCGAAUCAGAACGUCGCGGCGAAUACGUUGCCUGGUCUUGUACACACCGCCCGCCACACCAUGGGAGUCAGAAAUGCCCGAAGUCAGUGACCCAACCGAGCCCAAAAGGGGGCCGAAGGUGGAGCUGGUAACUGGGGUGAAGUCGUAACAAGGAAAC
This 605-nucleotide ribosomal RNA is filed under the name uncultured bacterium. Its description in RNAcentral is "bacterial SSU rRNA". It matches the Rfam family "Bacterial small subunit ribosomal RNA", at positions 894 to 1500 of the family's 1533-position model. The record is from RNAcentral.